Long non-coding RNA from Amphiprion ocellaris (clown anemonefish), 501 nucleotides. NCBI's taxonomy places the organism in Eukaryota, Metazoa, Chordata, Actinopteri, Pomacentridae. The record is from Ensembl.
CGGCUCUUUAUGUGGGGGGACCCAUCUGCCUGCUGGCCGGGCGGGUUGAGAGGGACAGAAGAGAUGUUCAGAGGGAGAUGAUGCCACAUCUGGUCCAGCUGAUGGAAGGUCUUGAAGUUCUCUGACUGGCCUCGACUGAAGAUGGUCGUCUCACUGGAUUUAAGAUGCACGAGGGACGUCUGCAGAGACUGAGAAAGAGUCUCACCACAUCCUGACAUGAGGAAAAAGACUUUAUUGAAGACUACAAUGAGAAAAACUAUCCAGACAGCAGACGUCAUGCAUUCAAGACUGUAGCUGCUGAAUUCAUGGAUGAAUCAUCUGGCACUAGAAAGGAAGACCAUCAAACAUCCACAUCAGCUGAUGGAGGUCCAAGAGUCUCACCGAACAAACAACCUACAGAGUGAAGACCUCGAAUCUGAUUGGACGGCCUCCUAUUCAGCCACGUGUGAACAAAUGCCUCUAAGUUGAUUUGUUUUCUAAAAUAAAUCUAGUUUGAGUCCU